GACGAACGCUGGCGGCGUGCCUAAUACAUGCAAGUGGGACGCAAGGGAACACACUGUGCUUGCACACCGUGUUUUCUUGAGUCGCGAACGGGUGAGUAACGCGUAGGUAACCUGCCUAUUAGCGGGGGAUAACUAUUGGAAACGAUAGCUAAUACCGCAUAAUAUUAAUUAUUGCAUGAUAAUUGAUUGAAAGAUGCAAGCGCAUCACUAGUAGAUGGACCUGCGUUGUAUUAGCUAGUUGGUAAGGUAAGAGCUUACCAAGGCGACGAUACAUAGCCGACCUGAGAGGGUGAUCGGCCACACUGGGACUGAGACACGGCCCAGACUCCUACGGGAGGCAGCAGUAGGGAAUCUUCGGCAAUGGACGAAAGUCUGACCGAGCAACGCCGCGUGAGUGAAGAAGGUUUUCGGAUCGUAAAGCUCUGUUGUAAGUCAAGAACGUGUGUGAGAGUG
RNAcentral lists this ribosomal RNA (453 nucleotides) under Streptococcus mutans. RNAcentral describes it as "bacterial SSU rRNA". It matches the Rfam family "Bacterial small subunit ribosomal RNA", at positions 28 to 463 of the family's 1533-position model. Lineage: Bacteria; Bacillati; Bacillota; Bacilli; Lactobacillales; Streptococcaceae. The record is from RNAcentral.